GACGAACGCUGGCGGCGUGCCUAAUACAUGCAAGUCGAACGCAGGGGGAGCGGGGGAGUAACAAGUUGGUAACCUCCCAUCAGAAGGGAUAACACUUGGAAACAGGAGCUAAACCGACACUGGUGGAAGGACCCACGGUGCAUUAGGUACUUGGUGGGGUAAGGGCGCACCAAGGCCACGAUGCAUAGCUGGCCUGAGAUGGUGACCGGCCACACUGGGACUGAGACACGGCCCCGACUCCUACGGGAGGCAGCAGUGGGGAAUAUUCGACAAUGGACGAAAGUCUGAUCCAGCAACGCCGCGUGAGUGAAGAAGGUUUUCGGAUUGUAAAACUCUGUCGUUAGAGAAGCGGUAUCUAACCAGAAAGCACCGGCUAACUCCGUGCCAGCAGCCGCGGUAAUAC
RNAcentral lists this ribosomal RNA (403 nucleotides) under uncultured bacterium. Its description in RNAcentral is "partial 16S ribosomal RNA". It matches the Rfam family "Bacterial small subunit ribosomal RNA", at positions 28 to 526 of the family's 1533-position model. The record is from RNAcentral.